Gossypium raimondii (Peruvian cotton) is the source of this 87-nucleotide non-coding RNA. The record is from Rfam. NCBI's taxonomy places the organism in Eukaryota, Viridiplantae, Streptophyta, Magnoliopsida, Malvales, Malvaceae.
CUCAAGGAAGCGCUUUGUCCACGUGGAUAGAAAGUGUGCCCUCAAGGACGCAUUUUUUGUCUACGUGGACAAAGCACUUCCUUGAGG